RNAcentral lists this ribosomal RNA (346 nucleotides) under uncultured bacterium. Its description in RNAcentral is "bacterial SSU rRNA". It matches the Rfam family "Bacterial small subunit ribosomal RNA", at positions 8 to 334 of the family's 1533-position model. The record is from RNAcentral.
AGGGUUCGAUUAUGGCUCAGGACGAACGCUGGCGGCGCGCCUAACACAUGCAAGUCGAACGGGACUAUUUGGCCGGAAGUUUUCGGAUGGAAGGCCGGAUAGUUUAGUGGCGGACGGGUGAGUAACACGUGAGCAACCUGCCUCUGAGAGGGGAAUAACGGCUGGAAACGGUCGCUAAUACCGCAUAAUGUAUCGGGGGGACAUCCCCCUGGUACCAAAGAUUUUAUCGCUCAGAGAUGGGCUCGCGUCCGAUUAGGUAGUUGGCGGGAUAACAGCCCACCAAGCCGACGAUCGGUAGCCGGACUGAGAGGUUGAUCGGCCACAUUGGGACUGAGACACGGCCCAG